UGCCCAUUUGCCCAACUGGACCUCCACCUC
This 30-nucleotide non-coding RNA is filed under the name Mus musculus (house mouse). Lineage: Eukaryota; Metazoa; Chordata; Mammalia; Rodentia; Muridae. The record is from RNAcentral.